CAGUCGCCGCGGUAAUACGUAGGUGGCAAGCGUUGUCCGGAAUUAUUGGGCGUAAAGGGCUCGCAGGCGGUUUCUUAAGUCUGAUGUGAAAGCCCCCGGCUCAACCGGGGAGGGUCAUUGGAAACUGGGAAACUUGAGUGCAGAAGAGGAGAGUGGAAUUCCACGUGUAGCGGUGAAAUGCGUAGAGAUGUGGAGGAACACCAGUGGCGAAGGCGACUCUCAGGCCUGUAACUGACGCUGAGGAGCGAAAGCGUGGGGAGCGAACAGGAUUAGAUACCCCGGUAGUCCCUGUCUCUUAUAC
RNAcentral lists this ribosomal RNA (301 nucleotides) under uncultured bacterium. Its description in RNAcentral is "partial 16S ribosomal RNA". It matches the Rfam family "Bacterial small subunit ribosomal RNA", at positions 509 to 807 of the family's 1533-position model. The record is from RNAcentral.